This 254-nucleotide ribosomal RNA is filed under the name uncultured bacterium. RNAcentral describes it as "partial 16S ribosomal RNA". It matches the Rfam family "Bacterial small subunit ribosomal RNA", at positions 524 to 776 of the family's 1533-position model. The record is from RNAcentral.
CACGUAGGGCGCGAGCGUUGUCCGGAAUUAUUGGGCGUAAAAGAGCUCGUAGGCGGUUCGUCGCGUCGGCUGUGAAAACCCGGAGCUCAACUCCGGGCCUGCAGUCGAUACGGGCGGACUUGAGUUCGGCAGGGGAGACUGGAAUUCCUGGUGUAGGCGGUGAAAUGCGCAGAUAUCAGGAGGAACACCGGUGGCGAAGGCGGGUCUCUGGGCCGAUACUGACGUGAGGAGCGAAAGCGUGGGGAGCGAACAGG